UACGUAGGGGGCAAGCGUUGUCCGGAAUCAGUGGGCGUAAAGCGCGUGUAGGCGGCUAGGUAAGUCUGCUCUGAAAGCCCGGGGCUCAACCCCGGGAGGCGGGUGGAUACUGUCUAGCUCGAGUCCGGAAGAGGAGUGUGGAAUUCCUGGUGUAGCGGUGAAAUGCGCAGAUAUCAGGAGGAACACCAAUGGCGAAGGCAGCACUCUGGGACGUGACUGACGCUGAGACGCGAAAGCGUGGGGAGCAAACAGG
RNAcentral lists this ribosomal RNA (253 nucleotides) under uncultured bacterium. RNAcentral's name for it is "partial 16S ribosomal RNA". It matches the Rfam family "Bacterial small subunit ribosomal RNA", at positions 524 to 776 of the family's 1533-position model. The record is from RNAcentral.